AGAGUUUGAUCAUGGCUCAGGAUGAACGCUGGCGGCGUGCCUAAGACAUGCAAGUCGAGUGGGUUUAGACCCACGGCGAACGGGUGAGUAAUACCUAGGAACUUUCUUUAAGUGGAGGAUAACUAGUCGAAAGAUUAGAUAAUACUCCAUGUGAUAGUAAUAUCAAAGUCGCAAGACGCUUAAAGUGAGGCCUGGGCACCAUCAGCUAGUUGGUAAGGUAAUGGCUUACCAAGGCUAUGACGGUUAGGGGUCCCGAGAGGGAGAACCCCCACACUGGAACUGCGACACGGUCCAGACUCCUACGGGAGGCAGCAGUUUGGAAUUUUGGACAAUGGGCGAAAGCCUGAUCCAGCGACGCCGCGUGGACGAUGAAGGCCUUCGGGUCGUAAAGUCCUUUUGCUCGGGAACAAUAUUUUGAGCGUACCGAGAGAAUAAGAGGUUGCUAACUCUGUGCCAGCAGCAGCGGUAAUACAGAGACCUCAAGCGUUAUCCGGAAUCAUUGGGCGUAAAGCGUACCGAUAGGUGGUUUUACAAGUCAGAAGUGAAAUCUCUCAGCUUAACUGGGAGACUGUCUUUUGAAACUGUAAAACUAGAGGGGCAAAGAGGAAGCUGGAACAAGCGGUGUAGUAGUGAAAUGCGUUGAUAUCGCUUGGAACACCAAUAGCGUAGGCAGGCUUCUGGGUGCCACCUGACACUGCUAGGACGAAAGCGUGGGGAGCGAAUGGGAUUAGAUACCCUAGUAGUCC
RNAcentral lists this ribosomal RNA (746 nucleotides) under uncultured bacterium. RNAcentral describes it as "bacterial SSU rRNA". It matches the Rfam family "Bacterial small subunit ribosomal RNA", at positions 8 to 796 of the family's 1533-position model. The record is from RNAcentral.